This 301-nucleotide ribosomal RNA is filed under the name uncultured bacterium. RNAcentral's name for it is "partial 16S ribosomal RNA". It matches the Rfam family "Bacterial small subunit ribosomal RNA", at positions 509 to 807 of the family's 1533-position model. The record is from RNAcentral.
CAGCAGCCGCGGGAAUACGUAGGGUGCGAGCGUUAAUCGGAAUUACUGGGCGUAAAGCGUGCGCAGGCGGUUGUGUAAGACAGGUGUGAAAUCCCCGGGCUUAACCUGGGAACUGCGCUUGUGACUGCACGGCUAGAGUAUGGCAGAGGGGGGUGGAAUUCCACGUGUAGCAGUGAAACGCGUAGAGAUGUGGAGGAACACCGAUGGCGAAGGCAGCCCCCUGGGCCAAUACUGACGCUCAUGCACGAAAGCGUGGGGAGCAAACAGGAUUAGAUACCCGGGUAGUCCCUGUCUCUUAUAC